AUAAAACGCUGGCGGCAGGCCUUAGAGAGGAAAGUCGAACGGUAACAGGUCGGAGGAUGCUGACGAGUGGCGAACGGGUGAGUAAUACAUCGGAACGGGACGAGUAGUGGGCGAUAUCUACUCGAAAGAGUGGCGAAGACCGCAUGAGAUCUACGGAUGAAAGCAGGGGAUCGCAAGACCUUGUGCUACUAGAGCGGCCGAUGGCAGAUGAGGUAGUUGGUGGGAUAAAAGCUUACCAAGCCGACGAUCUGUAGCUGGUCUGAGAGGACGAUCAGCCACACUGGGACUCCGACACGGCCAGGUCUCCUACGGGAGGCACCAGUGGGGAUUUUUGGACAAUGGGUGAAAGCCUGAUCUCGUCCAGCCGCGUGCUGCAUGAAGGCCUUAGGGUUGUAAACUGCUUUUGUACGGACCGACUAGCCCCGGGUUAAUACCCUGGGCUCCGCCCGGUACCGUAAGCAUAAGCACCUGCUAACUACGUGAAAGCCGCCGCAGUAA
Molecule: ribosomal RNA, 498 nt
Filed under: uncultured bacterium
Lineage: Bacteria
Description: partial 16S ribosomal RNA
Rfam family: Bacterial small subunit ribosomal RNA
Source: RNAcentral